RNAcentral lists this long non-coding RNA (573 nucleotides) under Equus caballus (horse). Its description in RNAcentral is "lncRNA (ENSECAG00000039060.2)". Lineage: Eukaryota; Metazoa; Chordata; Mammalia; Perissodactyla; Equidae. The record is from RNAcentral.
CCUGUGUCUCACCUGAGAAAUGCGAGAGGACCGUCACUUUCCUCCUCCUGCAGCUGCAGGGAGAGGACGCCCCUCCCGGUGCGGGGCCGUGGGGGCGGGGACGGCGGGCAGGAGCCCGAGCUGGGGCGUGGGCGUCCGUGCGACUGCUGAGUCGCACCCAGGCGUUGUGAUUUUAGAAAACUUCAGAGUUCUGAGACAAAAGGCAGAACCGUCCGUCAAGAGCCGUGGUCCUUCAGAAGGCAACUUUACACCACAGCCGUGGGAUUCCGUGGGGAGGUCGCAGUGUGGACAGAAGACCCAGCAGUAGCACCAAAGGCUUCCGGACUCCUGAGAGGCCCUGGAGGGUGCAGCCUUCGGGAGGAGGCUGAGGCAAGCCCACACAUCUGAGGCACAGGAAUUGUGUCCUUCAGUUUGGUGAAUUCUUCCAUCUGGAUGCUGUGGAAAGAAGAAUGUGCUUCCAUGAGAACCUGAUGAAAAGCAUUUUCCUCCUUCGAAUCAGACCUUGAACUCCUGGCCUGAACAUCAAAUGGCAUAUUGGAUGUUUCUUCCUGGAAGAGCCUCUGAUUGAACAUG